GACGAACGCUGGCGGCGUGCUUAACACAUGCAAGUCGAACGGUGAAGCGAGUGCUUGCACUCGUGGAUCAGUGGCGAACGGGUGAGUAACACGUGAGUAACCUGCCCAUCACUCUGGGAUAAGCACUGGAAACGGUGUCUAAUCCUGGAUACGACCUACCCCUGCAUGGGGUGUUGGUGGAAAGUUUUCUCGUUGAUGGAUGGACUCGCGGCCUAUCAGCUUGUUGGCGGGGUAAUGGCACACCAGGGCGACGACGGGUAGCCGGCCUGAGAGGGUGACCGGCCACACUGGGACUGAGACACGGCCCAGACUCCAACGGGAGGCAGCAGUGGGGAAGAGUGCACAAUGGGCGAAAGCCUGGUGCAGCGACGCCGCGUGAGGGAUGACGGCCUUCGGGUUGUAAACCUCUUCCAGCAGGGACGAAGCGAAAGUGACGGUACCUGCAGAAGAAGCACCGGCUAACUACGUG
RNAcentral lists this ribosomal RNA (469 nucleotides) under uncultured bacterium. Its description in RNAcentral is "partial 16S ribosomal RNA". It matches the Rfam family "Bacterial small subunit ribosomal RNA", at positions 28 to 507 of the family's 1533-position model. The record is from RNAcentral.